Molecule: ribosomal RNA, 440 nt
Filed under: uncultured bacterium
Lineage: Bacteria
Description: partial 16S ribosomal RNA
Rfam family: Bacterial small subunit ribosomal RNA
Source: RNAcentral
UCUACGGGAGGCAGCAGUGGGGGAUAUUGCACAAUGGGGGAAACCCUGAUGCAGCGACGCCGCGUGUGGGAAGACGGUCCUCUGGAUUGUAAACCACUGUCCCCAGGGACGAAGAUGACGGUACCUGGGGAGGAAGCUCCGGCUAACUACGUGCCAGCAGCCGCGGUAAUACGUAGGGAGCGAGCGUUGUCCGGAAUUACUGGGUGUAAAGGGAGCGUAGGCGGGGAUGCAAGUUGGGUGUCAAAACUACCGGCUCAACUGGUAGUCGCACUCAAAACUGCAGCUCUUGAGUGAAGUAGAGGCAGGCGGAAUUCCUGGUGGAGCGGUGAAAUGCGUAGAUAUUAGGAGGAACACCAGUGGGGAAGGCGGCCUGGUGGGCUUUUACUGACGCUGAGGGUCGAAAGUGUGGGGAGCAAACAGGAAUAGAUACCCGAGUAGUC